GAAGGGGCUUGCUAAAACAGUGCUGGCUCCCAGUCCCCCCAGUUUCGGAUUCAGGAGGUUUGGGAUGGGGCUGGAGACUGUGCUUUUCUAACAGUUCCCAGAUGAUUCUGAUGCUGCUGGUCUGGGGAACCACACUUUGCAAAGCACUGCCUUAGACUGAUCCUCGGCAUACGAGAAAGUGAGAUUUCUAUAGCUCACCCCAGGUGGACAGGAGAUAGAACACACCCACCCCAUCUAGGAAGAUGAUUUACAUUAAUCAGACGAGAAAAAUGAUACUCAGAGGAGUUAAGCAGUUUGCCCAAGAAGGAGCCAAGUUAGGAUUUGAACCCAGGACUGUCUGAUAGCAACCUUCAUGCUCUUAGCCACACGGCCAUCAUCUCAUAAUAAACAGGUGGCAGAACCAAGAACCAAGAGAAGGUCGCCCUCCUCUUCUGGAUUCUCUGGAGCUCACUAUAAGGUGCUCCAUGGCGUGGGCCGGACAUCACCCCUGUGGCUGCUGGGGGAGUCGGGACAGUUAAGACCUGUAGUAGCCGCCCGUAAAGAAGGCUUGGAACUCACCAGUGAGUCUCAUGAAAAUGGCUGUGAUAACAAACCUGAGGCAAAAUCAUAA
Molecule: long non-coding RNA, 610 nt
Filed under: Equus asinus (donkey)
Lineage: Eukaryota; Metazoa; Chordata; Mammalia; Perissodactyla; Equidae
Description: lncRNA (ENSEASG00005036925.1)
Source: RNAcentral